RNAcentral lists this ribosomal RNA (101 nucleotides) under Gammaproteobacteria bacterium. Its description in RNAcentral is "partial 23S ribosomal RNA". It matches the Rfam family "Bacterial large subunit ribosomal RNA", at positions 2825 to 2925 of the family's 2925-position model. The record is from RNAcentral. Lineage: Bacteria; Pseudomonadati; Pseudomonadota; Gammaproteobacteria.
CUCGGAAGGGCCGUGCGAGACGAGCACGUUGAUAGGCGGCAGGUGGAAGCAUGGCGACAUGUGCAGCCGAGCCGUACUAAGUGCCCGAGAGGCUUGACCAG